This 2923-nucleotide ribosomal RNA is filed under the name Klebsiella pneumoniae. RNAcentral describes it as "23S ribosomal RNA". It matches the Rfam family "Bacterial large subunit ribosomal RNA". Lineage: Bacteria; Pseudomonadati; Pseudomonadota; Gammaproteobacteria; Enterobacterales; Enterobacteriaceae. The record is from RNAcentral.
GGGUUGUGAGGUUAAGCGACUAAGCGUACACGGUGGAUGCCCUGGCAGUCAGAGGCGAUGAAGGACGUGCUAAUCUGCGAAAAGCGUCGGUAAGGUGAUAUGAACCGUUAUAACCGGCGAUGUCCGAAUGGGGAAACCCAGUGCAAUUCGUUGCACUAUCGUUAACUGAAUACAUAGGUUAACGAGGCGAACCGGGGGAACUGAAACAUCUAAGUACCCCGAGGAAAAGAAAUCAACCGAGAUUCCCCCAGUAGCGGCGAGCGAACGGGGAGCAGCCCAGAGUCUGAAUCAGCUUGUGUGUUAGUGGAACGGUCUGGAAAGUCCGACGGUACAGGGUGAUAGUCCCGUACACCAAAAUGCACAGGUUGUGAACUCGAAGAGUAGGGCGGGACACGUGGUAUCCUGUCUGAAUAUGGGGGGACCAUCCUCCAAGGCUAAAUACUCCUGACUGACCGAUAGUGAACCAGUACCGUGAGGGAAAGGCGAAAAGAACCCCGGCGAGGGGAGUGAAAAAGAACCUGAAACCGUGUACGUACAAGCAGUGGGAGCACCUUCGGGUGUGACUGCGUACCUUUUGUAUAAUGGGUCAGCGACUUAUAUUCUGUAGCAAGGUUAACCGUAUAGGGGAGCCGCAGGGAAACCGAGUCUUAACUGGGCGUUAAGUUGCAGGGUAUAGACCCGAAACCCGGUGAUCUAGCCAUGGGCAGGUUGAAGGUUGGGUAACACUAACUGGAGGACCGAACCGACUAAUGUUGAAAAAUUAGCGGAUGACUUGUGGCUGGGGGUGAAAGGCCAAUCAAACCGGGAGAUAGCUGGUUCUCCCCGAAAGCUAUUUAGGUAGCGCCUCGUGAACUCAUCUUCGGGGGUAGAGCACUGUUUCGGCUAGGGGGUCAUCCCGACUUACCAACCCGAUGCAAACUACGAAUACCGAAGAAUGUUAUCACGGGAGACACACGGCGGGUGCUAACGUCCGUCGUGAAGAGGGAAACAACCCAGACCGCCAGCUAAGGUCCCAAAGUCAUGGUUAAGUGGGAAACGAUGUGGGAAGGCACAGACAGCCAGGAUGUUGGCUUAGAAGCAGCCAUCAUUUAAAGAAAGCGUAAUAGCUCACUGGUCGAGUCGGCCUGCGCGGAAGAUGUAACGGGGCUAAACCAUGCACCGAAGCUGCGGCAGCGACACUAUGUGUUGUUGGGUAGGGGAGCGUUCUGUAAGCCUGCGAAGGUGACCUGUGAGGGUUGCUGGAGGUAUCAGAAGUGCGAAUGCUGACAUAAGUAACGAUAAAGCGGGUGAAAAGCCCGCUCGCCGGAAGACCAAGGGUUCCUGUCCAACGUUAAUCGGGGCAGGGUGAGUCGACCCCUAAGGCGAGGCCGAAAGGCGUAGUCGAUGGGAAACAGGUUAAUAUUCCUGUACUUGGUGUUACUGCGAAGGGGGGACGGAGAAGGCUAUGUUAGCCGGGCGACGGUUGUCCCGGUUUAAGCAUGUAGGCUGGUUAUCCAGGCAAAUCCGGAUAAUCAAGGCUGAGGUGUGAUGACGAGGCACUACGGUGCUGAAGUAACAAAUGCCCUGCUUCCAGGAAAAGCCUCUAAGCAUCAGGUAACAUUAAAUCGUACCCCAAACCGACACAGGUGGUCAGGUAGAGAAUACCAAGGCGCUUGAGAGAACUCGGGUGAAGGAACUAGGCAAAAUGGUGCCGUAACUUCGGGAGAAGGCACGCUGGUGUGUAGGUGAAGUCCCUGCGGAUGGAGCUGAGACCAGUCGAAGAUACCAGCUGGCUGCAACUGUUUAUUAAAAACACAGCACUGUGCAAACACGAAAGUGGACGUAUACGGUGUGACGCCUGCCCGGUGCCGGAAGGUUAAUUGAUGGGGUUAUCCGUAAGGAGAAGCUCUUGAUCGAAGCCCCGGUAAACGGCGGCCGUAACUAUAACGGUCCUAAGGUAGCGAAAUUCCUUGUCGGGUAAGUUCCGACCUGCACGAAUGGCGUAAUGAUGGCCAGGCUGUCUCCACCCGAGACUCAGUGAAAUUGAACUCGCUGUGAAGAUGCAGUGUACCCGCGGCAAGACGGAAAGACCCCGUGAACCUUUACUAUAGCUUGACACUGAACAUUGAGCCUUGAUGUGUAGGAUAGGUGGGAGGCUUUGAAGCGUGGACGCCAGUCUGCGUGGAGCCAACCUUGAAAUACCACCCUUUAAUGUUUGAUGUUCUAACGUUGGCCCCUGACCGGGGUUGCGGACAGUGUCUGGUGGGUAGUUUGACUGGGGCGGUCUCCUCCCAAAGCGUAACGGAGGAGCACGAAGGUUAGCUAAUCCUGGUCGGACAUCAGGAGGUUAGUGCAAUGGCAUAAGCUAGCUUGACUGCGAGCGUGACGGCGCGAGCAGGUGCGAAAGCAGGUCAUAGUGAUCCGGUGGUUCUGAAUGGAAGGGCCAUCGCUCAACGGAUAAAAGGUACUCCGGGGAUAACAGGCUGAUACCGCCCAAGAGUUCAUAUCGACGGCGGUGUUUGGCACCUCGAUGUCGGCUCAUCACAUCCUGGGGCUGAAGUAGGUCCCAAGGGUAUGGCUGUUCGCCAUUUAAAGUGGUACGCGAGCUGGGUUUAGAACGUCGUGAGACAGUUCGGUCCCUAUCUGCCGUGGGCGCUGGAGAAUUGAGGGGGGCUGCUCCUAGUACGAGAGGACCGGAGUGGACGCAUCACUGGUGUUCGGGUUGUCAUGCCAAUGGCACUGCCCGGUAGCUAAAUGCGGAAGAGAUAAGUGCUGAAAGCAUCUAAGCACGAAACUUGCCCCGAGAUGAGUUCUCCCUGAGACUUUAAGUCUCCUGAAGGAACGUUGAAGACGACGACGUUGAUAGGCCGGGUGUGUAAGCGCAGCGAUGCGUUGAGCUAACCGGUACUAAUGAACCGUGAGGCUUAACCUUACAACGCCGAAG